UCUCCUCAAAGGCGUCCCCAAAAAAAAUUGCAGAAAUUAUUUCCAAGGGUUGCAUCCUCUCACACACAACUUUAUUGUUUAAGAGUUGUAUCUCUUCAGAAGUUUAUAUAUUGAAGCGGUUUUGUGAAGUUUACAUAUUACGAAUCUAACGUAACGGGGAACGAUAGGUUAGGGAAGCAUCGGUGGUUUAUCGACGCAGGAUCUCUUCUUGUGGUUUCCGGUUAAAGGGAUCAGUGUGGACAUACCUUGCUCUGGCGAUAUAUAUUUCGAUGUCAGAGUUGUUUACAAGCGGUAUUUCAUGUCUUUGUUUGAGACUCUGAGAAAUUGUGUCGCUGUUGGAAGGAGGUUGAGUUUCGUGGGGAUAACAAGGUUCUGUAAUACAUUCGUGUAACUUUUCAUUUCAAAGCUCCGAUGUGAUGACGUGGCUCGGCUCAGCGAUGAGCAACCACGACACUUCUACGGACGGGUUCGAAGGUGUCGGCAACGGAGAAUGAAAGGACCGAGUGGUCGGAGCGGUGAGCAACUGUUUAGCGUUAUUCUCCGGCAGCGUCAAAGAUUUGAACGGAGUUACGGUCGUGAACAGGAAGUUACUUGGCGUAGAAGAAACAGAGGAGUUUCAGAGUUGGUUAAAGAGAGUAGACAGAGAGCUUCUCGGUACUCCGGCGACGGCGAUUCAAGCGGAUAUCACGGUGUCGAAAGACGGUAAUGGCACGGUUAAGACAAUCGAAGAGGCGAUCAAGAAAGCGCCGGAGCAAAGUAGCCGACGAUUCGUCAUCGACGUCAAGGCAGGAAGGUACGAAGAAGAAAAUCUCAAGGUUGGUCAGAAAAAAACAAACUUAAUGUUCAUCGGAGACGGCAAGGGUUAAACGGUCAAAAGUAUAUUCAGAUUCAAUCAUCUACGUUGCAAUUCUAUUAAGUAGAUCAAAGUGUUGGGAGAAACAUUGUGUAUCCAAAAGGGUUGACUAAUGGGUUUACAGUACAAGUUAGAAACUUUUAGCUGCUCAUGGUUUUCUGAAGACACUGACAGACAGACACACACUCCUUCCAUUUGAGGUCAGAUGCUCCUUUCUUCCCCCAAAUUGCUUUGAUCACUCUGUUUGAAGUGAAAAUGAUGAGAGAGUCUUCUGCGCAAGUUUAGAUGGGAAGAACAAGUAUUGGAUGGUUUUGUUUGAAAUUUCCAGAUUCAUCAUAUCACAACGUGGAUAUCGUGUGGUGUAAUUGAUCAUUCAAGAUUAAUGGUACCUUUGAAACGUUGUAACUAAGCGUAUAUUAUUGGGACAUCCAUAAAGAGGAAACCUCUGAUGUUAGCUAUAUGACGAUAAAUGUUUUGGAAUAGAAUAAAUAUUCAAGAAGAAGCAAAUGAGAAACAAGAGGAGAAGAAGGAUAGAGCACGUGUAGUAUAAUUAUGGAGUCGGAGUCGGAGCCAGCGAAAGAGGUUAUCACCGUGAUAGAUAAGCAUUGGGGUGAGAGAUAUAAGGUUGUUGUGGUCAUGGCAUGAUGGUGUGGUUGUCAGAACGAGAUCAGAGCUAAGGCGAGAAGAAAACAAAGGUGGAGAAGAGGAAGAAGAGCACAGUUCUGAGAUUGGUUGUUGAGAGGAGGAUUUCGUUGAUAUUUGAGUUAAAGAGAAUAUACACGUAUUGAUUUUUAAAAUAGGAUAUGCCACGUAAACCAUAGAAACUGACGUGACUGCCAUCAGAGUUAAGACCUUGUGGUGAAGAACUUUCCUUCCUACGCAAGCAUCAGAUGCAGCAGCUCAACUCUGGGAGGUUCAACUGGUCUGUUGCAGCAAUUUCAAGAGAACGUGUAAGGUUCAUUUGUACACCGAUAUGACUGAAAUUUUGAAUAGA
Long non-coding RNA from Brassica oleracea var. oleracea, 1847 nucleotides. RefSeq lists it as uncharacterized. The record is from RefSeq and is a predicted model, not a curated record. NCBI's taxonomy places the organism in Eukaryota, Viridiplantae, Streptophyta, Magnoliopsida, Brassicales, Brassicaceae. The transcript has 3 exons.